RNAcentral lists this ribosomal RNA (301 nucleotides) under uncultured bacterium. Its description in RNAcentral is "partial 16S ribosomal RNA". It matches the Rfam family "Bacterial small subunit ribosomal RNA", at positions 509 to 807 of the family's 1533-position model. The record is from RNAcentral.
CAGUAGCCACGGUAACACGAAGGGGGCUAGCGUUGCUCGGAAUGACUGGGCGUAAAGGGCGCGUAGGCGGCGAUCAAAGUCAGGCGUGAAAUUCCUGGGCUCAACCUGGGGGCUGCGCUUGAUACUUGGUUGCUUGAGUGGGGAAGAGGGUCGUGGAAUUCCCAGUGUAGAGGUGAAAUUCGUAGAUAUUGGGAAGAACACCGGUGGCGAAGGCGGCGACCUGGUCCUUGACUGACGCUGAGGCGCGAAAGCGUGGGGAGCAAACAGGAUUAGAUACCCCCGUAGUCCCUGUCUCUUAUAC